CUUACUAAAACGAUGGGAGAAAAAAAAAACAAAUAAUGCAAAUGGUAUUAUACGAAAACUAAUUCUUUCAAACUCAUUGAUCGAGUUUUCUGUCUGCUCUGAAAUUCUUUCUCAUUGUUUUCCCUCUUCACACAAACCCUAGACCCUUGAUUUCCUGUUUGGUUCGAUUGUUUGAUUUUUGUUUCAAUGUGUGUUUCAUCAGAUUUGAUUUGUGUACUGAGAAACAAUGGGUAUUUCAUCAGAUUUUUGUUUCUAGGGUGAAGCCAGCUCUCAAAUUUCCCGAAGUCUUCAAUUUCGUAGGUUCUCCACUUUACUAUCAAUUAAAGCUUCAUUGAUCUUGGGUUUUCUGGAUAAUUUCUAUUUAAUCGUUGCAGAAGAAAUAUCAUAUGGUUCAAUCAUUCAAAGGGAAUCAAAUUUUUUUAGGUUUCUUUACAAAAGAAUUAUAUUUUCCCGUCUAAAUCUUCGUUACUUUGGCUUCCCAAUCUCGAUUUCAGAAUUAUAAAAGAUUGGGUAUUCAGUUGAAGAUGUUACACCUGAUGAAAUUUAGGAGGCAGAGUUUAAUCACAAAGACGAUGCAGAGGAAAGGAAGAAGAAGAAUUAUGGAGAAUUAUGGAAGCUCAAUGCAAAGUUUUUCUGGACUCACAGGGGUUCUAUGGAGAACACAAUCUUUGACCCGCAAACCUGCUGGAAUGUUAUACAGUACUGGAAUGUUUCUAUGGAGAACAACUGCAAUAUCUAGGAAGAAAAGUUGAGCAUCUUAGGAGCACUGCAUUAGCUGAUACAUUAUCCAGAUGAAUGAUCUCUAAUUAUAAAUUUAUGACGGAUAAUGGAGCGAGUAGACACAGCUUAUUAGCGUCUUCAUUCCAGAAUGAGCAUUAUAUUGCGUAAGCUCAGGAAUACGGUUCUUCACAAAAUCUUGGAGCUCUUUUGACAUUAUUUGGUCCUUCGAAUUUUUUUGCAAUUAGUUCUGGACCACGGUCAGAUUAAGGAAAUUUCCGGUGACUCUUUGAUGGAACACAAUCUAUUUACCGCUGCAAAGUUAGACGAUCAACGAAGACAAGCGUCAAUGCAUGCCUAGACUUUAUAGACGAAUCUCAAUUAUAUACGACUGGCUGUGUAUAUCGCAACCAACUUAUCUACUAUUCCACCACUUCUGUAUUUGGACAUGCAUGAAUAUAGAUCCAAUUAAUCACAGAUGCGGGUAGCAGUUUCCUCCACCUCCUUGAAGAAGUACCAAGCUUAGAGAAGGUGCAGCUGAGUCGGUGGAUUCUGGGCUGGGAACCACAUCUUGAUGAUUUAACGACUCACGAAUCUCAACUAGAUGAUAUGAAGGCAUAUGAGAUACUUGGUCGUGCAGCUUCUGCUUUUGUAUAACUGAGCUUUGGAUUCGUCUGCAUUAUCACGACUAAUGGGUCUUACAUACCUAAUGUAUGUAUCCUAUGUUGUCUGUUUGAGGAAGAUACCAUCCAACUCUUCAUACAAUGCUCCUUUGCUCGCUCCAUAUGGUCUUACUGGGAGGUAAUUCUUUAUUCUGUCGUAGGUUUACUCUCAACUUGGAAUACUGCAGGUUUGUCCACUUCGCCUGUAUUGUGGUCUCUCAUGUUGUCAAACAUGAAUGAGACAGACAUUAGUCUAUAGACUCUACGCAACAUGCAUAAUUAUCUGGCGAGGCUUGACAAAGGGACUACUGAAAGCAAUCCAUUUUGUUAACUAAAUAGAUUUUUUUUUUUUGUACAUCCUAGAUCGAGUCUGUGUUUGUCUUCGUGCAUCUGGAAUAUUGCACAUAUUUAGUUGUAUCCCAACAAAUAUGUCUUCAGUUUCAUAUAUAUAGUUGAGUUAUUUGGAUCCUGUCAUUUAUGUGCACGAGUAUGAAUCUGUGGCGCAGUGGUAGCGCGUCUAACUCUAUGUCAAAAGGUUGCGUGUUCGAAUCACAUCAGAUUCACUGUCUGGCUUUAACUGAGUGUUCGAAUCACGUCAGGUUCCCUGUCUGGCUUUAACUGAAGUUAGAUACUGGAAUCUGGAGUUGGGACAGAUUUGAACAAUUUGGUUAUAUUGAGAUGUACUUAAUAUUCUCCAAAUAUACAAUAAAGCUGAAAUAUAACUGGAAGAGGAACCAAGACCUGAUCAACCACCCUCAUGGUUUCUUCACCCAUGGUAGCAAAUUUUACUAUCAUGGUUACAUAUAGCAGUGAGGAUGGUGGAGUACAACUUUGAUGGUGAUGCUGGAAAGUUGUAUACUAUUGUUUAUAGCUAAACUCCAAAGACAGGGAGAGUGAUAAUGAUAAAAUGAAUGAGACUUUUGAGAGAAAAGAUGAACAUGCUGAUUAAAAUGCAAUUUAUGAGAAAGAAGAAAAAAAAGACUGUAUUCAUUCUAGGCUCUAGCAAUUACGAAGUUUGACUUUUGUUUCCUGUUCUUGAUAGGAAUGUGUCUACUAUAUUUUUGUGAUGCAAUACUAUUGUAGCCACCCCUAUUUUAUGCAAGACACAUGCAUAUGAUAUUUUGUUUCCUCCCAA
This is a long non-coding RNA of Papaver somniferum (opium poppy), 2514 nucleotides long. RefSeq lists it as uncharacterized. Lineage: Eukaryota; Viridiplantae; Streptophyta; Magnoliopsida; Ranunculales; Papaveraceae. The transcript is spliced from 9 exons. The record is from RefSeq and is a predicted model, not a curated record.